UUUACAAUAUAAUUUAGUUAAACAAGACGUUUACAAACAGCGUGAUGGUGUAUGCAGCUGAGCUGUAGGUUGCUUCAAAUGUUACGGGUGGCAUGGUAGCGCAGUAGUUAGCACAACGCUUUACAGUAUGGGUUCAAUUCCCACCACAGUCUGUAAGUGGUUAGCACAACACUUUACAGUACAGGUUUUCCCCACUAUCUGAAGGCAGAGUGUUCCUAUGAAACCGUUUGUAAGCCGAAAUGUCGUAAAGUGACGAAGCAAUUGCCAUUAAUUUAUAUAGGAAAAAUUUUUGAGCGUUCCCAGACCCAAAAAAUAACCUACCGAAUUAAAGCAAAUAACACAUAAAACCUAAAAUAACACAAAUGUAUAGUAAAAGCAGGAAUGACAUGAUAAAUAGAGACUCCAUAUAAAGUAGAAAUAUUGUAUGUACAGUGUAGUUUUACUUAUCAGAAUGGGGAAGGCAGCAAGCCAAAAUCGAUUUGGAGAAAAAAUAUCAGCACGUACACGAAUGCGCACGUACACACUCAAACGCACGUACACGCAUACGCACACAACUGCCCACACAAGGCUUCAUGAUCAUGGUAGUCUUUCUCGGGGUAAACACACGUAUAAAGCGGGCGUCUUUUGUUCGUAAAAGCGAAAAUCCUCUUUGGUUAGCGAAAACAGGUACUAAUGUAGGUUCUUUCGUAACAGCGAGCUGUCGUAAAAUGGACGUUCGAAAAAUGGGGGCCACCUGUAUGGGGUUCAAUUCCCACCACAGUCGGUAAGUGGUUAGCAUAACGUUUUACAGUACCAAGGACCCUGGUUUGUUUCCCGCCACGGUCUGUACGGAGUUUGUAUGUACUUCCCGUGACCAUUUGGGUUCCCUCCGGUACUCUGGUUUCCUCCCACAUUCCAAAGACCUACUGGUUGGAGGGUUAAUUGGUCUUUGUAAAUUGUCCCAUGAUUAAACUGGCAGAUUGCUGGGUGGCAUGGCUCAAAGGGCUGUAUUUCAAGAAAUAAAUAAACACUGUCAAGAAGUUUAUUUUGCUGUUUAUACAAGUGUUAGAGACCAUUAAGAACCAGAGGUCCGCAUUCAUUAUUCUGCAAUUAGGUAAUUUCAACAAGAUGGGACUCUUAAAGUGCAGUUGAAAUUGUGUUAGAAAAACAUCAACAACAAAGUUAGGUUCAUCCACUCAUGUGUUGCCAGCUUACACAUGCUCGUUUUCAUUCAGAAUUUUUCUAUUUCACAAUUCCUAGAACUAACCUGUUUCUGAAGGUUUAACAAAGUAACAGCUUUGCAAUUGUAUUUACUGACAUCUUACUUGAAGUGAGCAUUCCUAUACUUUCCUCACAGUCCACAUUUUGCACUCAUUACUUCUCUGAUUAUUCAUUCACAAACAUGCGCAAUGCUAUGAAGGACAUUAUAUAAUGGCCAUCUUUGAACGUCCUUAUUAAAAUGCUGCAUACCACCUUCUUAGUUCUCAAGUGUCCUUCUGGGCAAGUUGGGUCUUGUUUCUCAUGCCUACUGAGUUCACUGGAAAAUUUAUAUUAGUGUGCAACAUUUGACAAAAGUGAAUUAAAUGCAUGCUGGGGUAUUCCAACAAUCAAAAAACUUUGUCAGUCUGGAAACUCCUGUGCCAGUUUAUCGGAGUUGUAGAUUAUUUGGCACAUUCAUAGUCAUAGCUACCAUUUAAAAAAAUCUAAGCAGUUGAUGUCAGUCUUCCUGCUGAUGUGGUGGGAUCUGAACCAGGUGCCCAGCUCAUUAGUGCAGGUCACUGAACUGUUUAUCCAUUAUCUGUCAUUAACUUUCUUCUGCAUGACUGUGCUCUAAUAAAACCUGCCAGCACUUGACUAGGCUGAUAUGGCAAAGCAAGAAGGGACGAAUUUUUCCAAUCUGCCUCACAGUCACGUGGUAUCAUGACCGACAUCUUGAAAUUGCGUUAAGAGCAAAGAGAACUAUUCUGCUAUUAGGAUUCUUUUGGUAUCCUAGUCAUUUUAAUUUGUAAUAAAAAGAACUGAUCUCUCUCACUGUUUCAAGAACCAUGCAACAUAUUUCUGGAAAAUUACAAGUUCACAGCUAAAGUAAGACUGGCUGGGGUCCUGUCAGAGUCCAUGAUCUACAGCUGCACUCAAACUACGGUUCGUCGUAGUGGUAGGUUCUCGCUCUCGGAGGCCGCCGAGCGACCUAGCAUUUCCAAUAUCUCCAGGAGCGGCCAGGAAGAGAUAUGCCUUUGGGGUGCAGCCCCGUGGCUGACCCGAUUCCUUGUCAGUGUCGCCAUCUGAAGCAUCACCAGAGAUUGAAGCAGUGAAUGCUGCAGGUUAUAACAUCGAAACAGCAUUAGUGAGAGAGAAUGCCUGUGGCAUGUUGAACUGUUGGGUGAACAGUGUUUAUUGAUGGACUCUUGAUGAGGGUCUCUGGGGGCUUUGCUGUUGCUUGCAUGGUGGGUGGUAGAUGGUCGAUGCUUUUGCUGAAGCAAGUGUGGGGAGGGUUGAUGCUCUUGUUGCUGCCUGUGCAUGGGGGGUGCUUUGGGGAUUUAACCUUCUCUGUCAUUCAUUCUUUCAGAUUUUUCAUCUGUUUCAUGGAUGUCUGCAAAGAGUAAGAAUUUCAGGUUUUAUACUGAUAUAAAAUUGAACCAUUGAGCUAUUGAUCUGUCAUUCAUUCCUUUGGAUUUUUCAUCUGUUUCCUGGAUGUCUGCAAAGAGUAAGAAUUUCAGGCUUCUCUGAUAUUAAAUAGAACCAUUAAACCAUUUGUGUUCUUUAUAUUCAUACAUACCGUGGGUUACUAAUAAAGAACCAUCUUCUCUGUCUCAAAUAGAACUUUCAUUUAACAACCACUACUUUUUUACAAUACCAUGUUUCUCGAUCUUUCUAUCAUCCCUGCACAUGCUCAGAACUCUCUCCAAUCACAUUCUUACAUGUCAUAUCACCACAUCUUCCUUUCCUUAAAAAGAAAAACAAUUAGCAAUGUUAACCAGAGCAAAUGCAUAAUUUAACAUGUCUCUAUCAGUCUCUCUGGGGGUUUACGAACAUGAGUCGACCUUCUAAGUGGUUCACACAGUUCUUGAGUUUCGUUGUUAUUUCCAUGUUUUGUCUGGUCUGCAACAGUGGAGUUAGCUCUUUCUUGAGGUCUUUGCAAUUUCUUCUUAACACUGCUCUUUCUUCUGUUUGGACCAUGUCUGAUCUGGGUUGUACUUCUCCAAGUACUGUAGCUUUCUGUGUCCAUGUGUUCAUUCUGUCUUGUAUCCUUACCUCAUCUCCCUGGUGCAGUUCAGGGAAUGGACGAGAACGUCUGUCAAAAUAUGUUUUCUGCUUUGCUUUGUGUUCAUCUUUCCAUCUUUUCACUUGUUCACCUCCCUCUGUUCUCUGAAGGCUCUCAUCUCAAAUGGUGUCCCAUCAGGAGCUGAGCAGGUGAAAGUCCACAUUCAAGUGGAGUACUAUGGUAGGCUAACAAAGCUUUAUAAAAAUCACUUCCACUAUCUUUUGCUUUAUGCAUCAGUUUCUUGAUAAUUCCUACCGAUUUCUCAACCAAUCCAUUGGACUGAGGGAAAAAUGGACUAGAUGUUGUAUGAAUAAAGCCCCAUUCAUGAGCAAAAUGUCUCAUACAUUCACCAUUGAAUUGUGGACCAUUGCCUGUGAAAACUUCAUCAGGUACACCAUGUCUGAAAAAAACUGAUUUCAUGCAUGUAAUUACAUUUUCUGUUGUUCUGCCCAAACCACACACUUCAGGAUACAAUGAGUAGUAAUCUGUUAUUAAUAGAUAAUCUUUGUUGUCAGUUAAAAGAAGAUCAACGCCUACUUUCUGAUAAGGUCUCUGAGGACUAGGAUGUGGAUGCAGUGGCUCCUUAGGGUUGCUAGGUUAGCAUAUUUGACAAGAAGACACCAAAUCAUUUCUUGAUUCAUCCUGGGCCAAAACAUUACUUGCCGCGCCCUUCUCUUACACUUUUCAAUACCUAGGUGGCCUUCAUGAAUCUUCCCAAGCAUUUCUUUUUGGAGACUUUUAGGAAUCACAAUUCUGCUACCUUUGUACAAUAUCCCAUCCACAUCAGAAAGUUCUGACCUGUGGUUCCAAUAUUCUUGUACUUCUAAGAGACAGUCAUGCUUAUUAUCUGGCCAUCCAUCCAUUGCCACUAGUAUUACCUGACUGAGAAUUUUGUCCUAUUACAUACCCCGUGGGUAUCUUGUGACUGUCACAGGACCAUGAUGUAACUGAGGCUCUGCUGGGCAUGAUGUAAUGCUCUUGUGAUGGUGGAGUGAUGUAAUUUUCCCGCCAGUGAGAGGUCAUGUGAUGGCCUACUUCAACAGGUAUAAAAGGAGCACGCCUCGCUGUGACACAGGCUUAAUUCGUCAGUGACUCCAUUCUGCUGCGUAUUUGAUUUCUUGAUAUAGUUUCAUUUUAAAGUGGAGUUUUGAUUUCUACUGUAAGAAUCGUUGUGCCGGCAGUUCUGAAAAUCACUGCCAGUCUAGUCCAGUUGGAGAGUGAAGAAUUUAUUGAAGUACGGAAAACCCGAAGGAUCAAGAAAAGUUGGUGUCAUCAGCGGUAAAACAGGUUCGACCUUAUUUAAUCUUUGUUCAAGGAAUUACUAACCUGCGUCUGAGAUAGCUCCUGCAUUGCUAUAAGAGCAGAAAGAGUUGGAUGUAGCGUUUCGCCAAGGAAAGGUCAGUGCCUUUAAGCCAUUUUAUUUCCUUCGUUGUAAAUCCUUCGGGGAAGGCAUAUUUCGGCUGGAAUCAGCAGUAAUGUCACGUCGUCGAAGAAUUCGUUACUUCUAGAAAAAUCUCUCCUAAUUGACUGUGUAAAUCAUUUGGACUUUUGCAUUUACUACUUUUAAGAACUGUGUUUGCGUUUCUCGUUUUAAGAACUGUUCGAGCUGCCGUGUAGCAGUUCACUUCCAGUUAAGUUAGUCGUUUGUUUAAUUUUGGUUUUUUUUUAGCAGUGUUUAAUAAAGGUUUUAUUUGUUUAUAAAAAAAAACAGUCUCAAUUCUAUAUUCAUUGUUGCUGAAUCAUAACAGUCCUUCUCUGUCUCAAGACGCAGCAGUUCCAACUUUUCAGGAGCAACAGGUACCAUCUCAAUGAUCAUAUCAACAAAUGCCUGAACAUCAACAGCGUCUCUUUGACUGACUUUUGUUGUUGGACAGUCUCUGGAAAGUGUGUCAGCUGUGUACAUGAAUUUUCCAGGUCCGAUUCUACAAAUACUUGUCUGUCAGUACUGAUGAACCGUACAUCCUCUGAUAACCACCAUCCUGUCAAAAUCUGGCAUCUAAUAUGAUUAUGUCGCUAAUCAAUGAUGCCUAGCUGUUGUUUAUUGACAACAGCUCUGCUUCAGUACUGUAACAGACACCAAUAGCUCUGCCACAAUUAUUCUCAGCACCGGCACGUCAGAAUGUUGCAACCUCAGCCCCCUACUCGACUCCCUAUGCACUCAUGACAGCAUAGUCAGGUUCUGCUCUGACUCCAUCUAUAAGUUUGCAGACGAAACCAAUGUAGUGGACCAAUUCUCGAUGAGUUGGGAUGAUGGCCAAGGAGACAGAGCACAAAGAUGAGACAAUCUGCAGACGCUGGAAGUGUGGUGCAGGGAGGUAGAACAUCUACUGACUGGGUGUCAUGACAACAACCUUUCUGUCACUGUCAGCAAAUGAGCUUGUCACUGACUUCAGGAAGGGGCCGUUCACAUGCUCCUGCUUAUAUCAACAGUGCUGAGGUUUCAAGUUUCCAGGAGUGAACGUCACCAAAGGCCUGUCCUAGUCUAACCACGUUGAUGUCAUGGACAAGAAAUGUUACCAACUCGUUUAUUUCUCCUGGGGGAUAAAGAAAUUUGGCACGUCUCCUAUGACCCUCACAAAUUUUAUUGACACACCACAAAAAGCACCCUAUCCUGAUGCAUUACAGCUUGGGAUGGCAACUGCUCUGCCCAAGAUCACAAAAAACUGCAAGGAGCUAGGGAGUAAACACAAGGAAAUCUCCAGAUGCUGGAAAUUCAAACAACACACACACAAAAUGCUGGUGGAACACAGCAGGCCAGGCAGCAUCUAUAGGGAGAUACUAAGAGUAUCUUUCCUCUCGGUUAGUCCUGAUGAAGGGUCUCGGCCCGAAACGUCGACAGUGCUUCUCCCUAUAGAUGCUGCCUGGCCUGCUGUGUUCCACUAGCAUUUUGUGUGUGAAGGAGCUCAGGACACAGCUCAACACAUCAUGGAAACCAGCCUCCCCUUCACAGACUGUCCACACUUCCCACAACCUCAGUAAAACAGCCAGUAUUAGCAAAGGUCCCAUCCGUCCCAGACAUUCUCUCGUCACUCCCCUCCCAAAAGGCAGAAGACACAGAAGCUUGAAAGCAUGUACCACCAGGCCCAGAACUGUUAUAAGACUAUUGAAUGUACAAUAAGAAGGAUUCUUAAUCUCAAAAUCUACUUCGCUGUGACUUUGCACCUUGCAGUCUACCUGAAUCGCACUUUUGCUGUAUGAAAACCUUUAUUCUGCACUCUGCUAUUCCUUGUUUUACCUUGUACAAUUUUACACUGUUGUAAUGAAUUGAUCUGAAUGGACAAUAUGCAAGACAAGCUUUUCACCCUACCUCGGUACAUACGACAACUGGCACCGCAGACAGCACAGCAAUUAGUGUGACGCUAAUGCAGCUUGGGGCGUUCCAGAAUUUGCAGUUCAAUUCCGGCACCAUCUGUCAGGAGUUUGAACAUACACCCCGUGAACUGCGCGGGUUUCCUCUGGUAGCUCCAGUUCUUUUCCCCACAUCCCAAAGAUGUACUGGUUAGUAAGUUAAUCGAUCAUUGGAAAUUGUCCUGUGAUUAGGCUAAUGUCAAAUAGUUAAGUUGCUGGGUGGUGCAGCUCGUUCCACACGGCAUCUCUGAAUAAAUUUAAAAAAUAAUAAACCAAUUUACCAAGUUCAAUUACACUGCUCAAACAUUUAUCCAGGUCACCUCUUGACACUCUGGGAGCUGCCGUAUCAGCCUUUUUAUACUCAUUUCUUCCUCCUCCUCACUCUUCGACAAUCCCAUGAGGUGGAUUCGACAGUGGCUGAGGAGGCCAAUAUGGGACCUGCAGAUUUCCAUGGAUGGUGCAGGAGGUGCUUGAUAGGAUGGACUGGUGGUGUUACUUGAGAGGUACUACUCCAUUAGAACUUUACACUAGACUUCUGAAUGUUCCUACUGAAUGAAUAUAAGGUACUCUGCGCCAUGCAAAUGUUCCUCCUUCAGUCAAAAAGCUUAUGACCAAGGAUCCCCAUGCACCUACUAGGAUUUUUUUUUCCCACAAGGAGUCUAUAAAAACAUCCUUGAACUGUUACCUCUAUCCACCUGAUAAUCAACUUGCCAUGACAGAGCUUGUUUCGGAGAUUUGGUGUUAGACAUGUGAACAACAUGGCGUACUCCUUGGAGACGCUGGGUGUAAUCAGGAUCCCAAUACUGGAGAUGCUGGUGUGCGUAAGGACACAAGCAAUGGUUGGCUUAUUUUGUCUGUGCAUUUGGAAGCUUUUGCAGAGAGAACAUUGGUAUCUCUCCAGUGCUUUGAAGUUCCUGAUGUAGCUAGUCUAGAUCUUUGGUGCAUUCAGUAGGACAGAGAUUCCUGCAGCCCUGUGGACUACAAAUUUCUGCUAGGUGUCAGGUCUUUACCUUUAAACUGUCUUUUCCUCAAAUGAUCCAAGGACAAAGGUGCAUUUCAUCACUAAUACCUACCAGUGUAAUUAGUAAAAAAAUGUAAGUUAGUUAUUAAAGGAAAACUGUUUCUCAUUUCACCUGUUUUGUGCUGAACAAAGUGUGAAUUGCACAAUGAAACAAUAAAACUCUUGGAGUUGCCUUGACCUUUUAACGUUCCAUCAUCUCCAGUUUAAAAUGCCUAACUACUCUGUUGUGUAAGGCAAUAUUUGUAAGUGUUGUGCCAGAGAAUUCUGGAGGCAAACUGGGAGUUCUAUGUACUCUAAGCAUCAAAUAAUGUGCAGGCCAAAAUGAUUUUAAAUCAUUUAUGUCAGAGCAGCAAAGAUUUUCAAAGUUGCUCUUGCAAAACACACAAAAUGCUGCAGGUACUCAGCUGGGCAGGCAGCAUCUAUGGGAAAAAAUGCAGUGGACAUUUCGGGCCGAGACCCUUCGUCAGUCCUACUGAAGGGUUUCGGCCUGAAACGUCAGCUGUACUUUUUUCCACAGAAACCACGAGGCCUGCUGAGUUCCUCCAGCAUUUUGUGUGUUGCUUGGGUUUCCAAUGUCGGCAGAUUUUCUCUUGUUUGUGAAAGUUGCUCUUGACUACUUUUUAUA
Hypanus sabinus (Atlantic stingray) is the source of this 8235-nucleotide long non-coding RNA. RefSeq lists it as uncharacterized. The transcript is spliced from 4 exons. The record is from RefSeq and is a predicted model, not a curated record. NCBI's taxonomy places the organism in Eukaryota, Metazoa, Chordata, Chondrichthyes, Myliobatiformes, Dasyatidae.